CUACGCGCGGCAGCAGUGGCGAAUAGUGCACAAUGGGCGCAAGCCUGAUGCCGCCAUGCCGCGUGUAUGACGAAGGCCUUCGGGUUGUAAAGUACUUUCAGCGGGGAGGAAGGCGAUAAGGUUAAUAACCUCGUCGAUCGACGUUACCCGCAGAAGAAGCACCGGCUAACUCCGUGCCAGCAGCCGCGGUAAUACGGAGGGUGCAAGCGUUAAUCGGAAUUACUGGGCGUAAAGCGCACGCAGGCGGUCUGUCAAGUCGGAUGUGAAAUCCCCGGGCUCAACCUGGGAACUGCAUUCGAAACUGGCAGGCUAGAGUCUUGUAGAGGGGGGUAGAAUUCCAGGUGUAGCGGUGAAAUGCGUAGAGAUCUGGAGGAAUACCGGUGGCGAAGGCGGCCCCCUGGACAAAGACUGACGCUCAGGUGCGAAAGUGUGGGGAGCAAACAGGACUAGAUACCCUGGUAGUGCACGCCUUGAAUGAUGUCGACGUCGA
This 490-nucleotide ribosomal RNA is filed under the name Enterobacter sp. RNAcentral describes it as "bacterial SSU rRNA". It matches the Rfam family "Bacterial small subunit ribosomal RNA", at positions 339 to 821 of the family's 1533-position model. The record is from RNAcentral. Lineage: Bacteria; Pseudomonadati; Pseudomonadota; Gammaproteobacteria; Enterobacterales; Enterobacteriaceae.